UUAAGUUCAGCGGGUAGUCCUACCUGAUUUGAGGUCAAGAAGUUCAUUAAUGUUGUCCAACAAGGGACUAUUAGCAGCUGAACUAGUCAGAGAGCAAUCAUCACAGUGUAGAUAAUUAUCACACUAGUGACGGGACUGCAAACGGUUCCGCUAAUGUAUUUCAGGAGAGCCGACCUCUUAAUAAAGGCCCGCAAACCCCC
This 200-nucleotide unclassified non-coding RNA is filed under the name Bovista sp. RNAcentral describes it as "partial internal transcribed spacer 2". Lineage: Eukaryota; Fungi; Basidiomycota; Agaricomycetes; Agaricales; Lycoperdaceae. The record is from RNAcentral.